CAUACACAAAGGAAGGGUUUUGGAAAGCCCAAAUAGCACGUAAGCCUCUGAGAUUAAUUUCAUUUCUCAAAGCCAUCGAUCUUUAGAAUUUGGAACUGGAAGAUGGCGUUCGCUUCAACAAUUCGACGCUUUCUCUCAGGCUCAGCUUCUCCUACUCUCCAACCGCAGCUCUUCUCUUCUCGUCUCUACUCAACUCUCACUUCUCCAAAGCUUUUCGUCAGUGGUAGGUCCCUUUCCCUCUUUCUCCUUCUGUUUUUGGAAUUUAAUUUAAUUUUUUUUUCUUUAUUUUGGGAAUUGUACUGAUUUUUCUUGCUAUAUGGUAUAUAUUGAAUGUUGUGGGUUUAUGUAGUUGAGGUUUUGUGGGUAAUGAUGCAUUAUCCUUAGACCAGACAUGGUAUUUUAUGGUGAAAUUUUGCAUUUUGAGUUUUCUCCAGGUCAAAAUGGGGAUGGAAUUAAGAAUCCAUAAUUGAACCAAAUAGAUGCCUACCCAUGAAUUCAUAGUAGUAUAGGGCUGUGAAUCUUCCUCUGCUUCAAGAGAUGGCAAACUGAAAAUCAAUCAUUUUUUGAAUAUCCAGUGAUUUCUUGUAGCAUUUGUUACACUUAUCUAGAAGUUGCCCAAAUGUCUUUCAUUGUGGCUUCGCUUUUAUGUGGGUUAGUUUGGCAUGAGAUUGUCUAGGCGGGUGAAGAUAAACCUAGAUGCAACUAUCAGUUGAGUGAAGAAUGAAUAUUUGUAAGAUCUAAAUGUCUGUUUGUGCAUUUCUGUGAAUACCUAGUGCUCAUUGUCAUGGAAGAUGUAUUAAAAAGUGGGUUGGUGCUUAGCUUUAAAGUAGAAGUAGCAGAACUAGAAUUCUACUCACCUGAAGCCCUUUUGGCUGCUAAUCCCCUAGCCUAAUUUUACCUGUGCCUUUUACAUGGUUCAAAGCCCAUUUACUUGGGGAUGAUAUUUUCUUUUGCACAUGAUUCUAGGAUAGAUGGCAAUAUGAAUAGGUAUAAUGGAAUUUGUUUACCAAGAAAUGGAAAUGAAAGGAGUGGCUAUGCUGUUUGCCUGCUAGAAUUAGCAUGUACUUCAUUAGGUUUUGGUAUGUUUCUUUACCUCCUUAAAAUUAGCGAAUGUUUCAGUGAACUACUCUUGUUCUCUAAUGCAAGAAUAUUCUUGUCUAGAUUGUUAAUGUUGAUAGCUCUAUAUGGAAAAGAUCAGUGCUUAUGUUAAAAGAAUGAGAAACAAUUUAAAACACUUUUAAGUUCCUAAGUUCUUUCUCCAGAUAUUUUAAUUAUCAUUAUGAUGCCAGUUUUCCAAUCAAGGGUUAGAAUGAUCAAUCUUGUGCCAAGUGGAAAAGUGCACUGGUAGUUAUUUAGACAUAUUUGUGUACAACCUUGUUUUUAUGCACAUGGAAUUUUGAUGGCAUUGGGCU
Molecule: unclassified non-coding RNA, 1412 nt
Filed under: Hevea brasiliensis (rubber tree)
Lineage: Eukaryota; Viridiplantae; Streptophyta; Magnoliopsida; Malpighiales; Euphorbiaceae
Source: RNAcentral